Non-coding RNA from Rhodocollybia butyracea, 80 nucleotides. The record is from the annotation of a GenBank genome assembly. NCBI's taxonomy places the organism in Eukaryota, Fungi, Basidiomycota, Agaricomycetes, Agaricales, Omphalotaceae.
UCCGAUAUGGUGUAGUGGCUAACAUUAUCGCCUCUCAGAAGGUUGCGCGAUAGCCCGGGGUUCGAUUCCCCGUGUCGGAA